Molecule: long non-coding RNA, 1975 nt
Filed under: Theobroma cacao (cacao)
Lineage: Eukaryota; Viridiplantae; Streptophyta; Magnoliopsida; Malvales; Malvaceae
Description: long non-coding RNA (TCAC_LNC002328)
Source: RNAcentral
AAAAUAUUAAAUGAAAAAUUCCAUUUUCUUAUAAAACAAUAUUUAUAAAACUUUACGUAAAUAAUUUUUGUAGCGUAAAAGUAAAAUAAAUCCAUACAUACAGUAACAUAGAUAACCAGAGUAUAUAAUUUAAUUUACAAUGACGUGUGGGCCCUCGAAUGACCAAAAGUAACAAAGGCUAUGGACCUAUAAUUUCUGAGGAGGCGAGUCCAAUAAUUACCCUCGACGUAAUCAGUUAUUUACAGAUUGUCCUGAUCCUGGAAUGAGUGGAAAGGAAGGUGGUGAGUUUAUAUAAACUCAGUGAGUAAACAAACAUCAUUUAAAAUAUCUAAAGUCAAGUAAAUGUAGACAACUUAAAAUAGUUCAUCGUACUAUGAUUCAUAACGUUUCGAACUCAUUUCAACUAAAUAAAAUAAUUUCAUUUCACUUAAAUAAUCAAUAUGGCUUAUGAAUUUAUUAAAAAUUUGGCUCAUGCCAAAACUCAUUCUCGGGGAUACCUUGGCUGGGGCAUCCAACUGAGUCCGUCAAGGCUAUUAAAGAAAAGUUCAUAUAUGCAUAAAACACAUUUUUAUGUUUAAAAGCAUAGUCGUUCCUUGGUGUUGGCUGAGUUCACCCUCACGUGGUGGUUUAGCGUGUAGUGAACUCUAAAGCUUUACCUCAGGAGAUACCCUCUGCACCUCUCGUACCGAGAUAAAAUAUAAACGGGUUUACCGUGCGCCUCUCUAAUAGGUUGGUCCACGGAAACCCACCACUGCAGUGACUAAUCAAUAUCCCACCAAAUCAAUAAAAGUUUCGACAGCAUGACAUGGCAAUUAUAUUACUACCCAGGCUGUUAAGGCAAAACAAACAGUUCAUACAAUUUCAACACAAUUUCCAAUUCAGCCAUUCAUGCCAAUAUCACCAUAAGCCAUUCAAUUCAAACCAUAAAUUUACAACACAAUCAAAUAGUCUCCAAUUAUUCAAUUUCAAAAUCAUUUAUAAAACUCAUUUCAUUUAAUCACAUUUUACUUAUAAAACAUAAGGAUUUACCAUUUAAACUCAUUUUUCUAUAAAAUCAUAAAAAGGAAUAAAAACUACUUUAGAUAAUUAAGACGAUAAUAAGGUUACUCACAAUAUUGGGAGUCAAAGUACUCCUAGUCCUGAUCUUCAAGUACAAUCUCCUUACCGUUAUCGAAAGUUUCACCACCAAAACAUAAUGCACAACAAGCAAUUUACUAUUUUUGUACUAAACCGUUACAAAGCUAAUUUAGGCUCUAUAUGAAUGCAUGAAAUGGGAUGCGAAAUGUUUUGAUUAUUAUCUAAAUAUGGUGUUCUACGUAGCUUCAUUUAUGUAUCGAAUAAAAUGGUAUUGGCCUAAUUCGAUCUAUACACCAGUUAAUUGGCCAAUACAUCCAAUUCAACUCCAAUUAACUUAAUUCCACUUCCAACACUCCAAGUCAUCAAUUACAAGUUAAAUAAUAUGUAAUAUCAUAAAAAUCCAUCAUCAAUAUCUUCCUUGUAAAAUUUGGCCAUUAAAGGUUUAGUGUAGAACAUAUAAUUUUCAUGCUUGAUUUUUACACCUUACAUCAUAAAACAACUAAAAACACCUAAAUAGCAUGAAUUUCAUCAAAGUCCAUUAUCCAAUUUCUCUCUUGAAAUUUCAGCCAAGGAGUGUGGGUGAAGGGCAUGAAAUUUCUUGCUUGUUUUUCAUGCUAAACAUCACCAAACAAUUAAAAACACUAAGAUACCUUGAAAUCUAACCAAAUAAAUCAUCAAAUCUUCUCUCCCUAAAUUCGGUCAGCCAUGAAUCCUUCAUGAGAUCUUGAAUUUUAACCAUAAUAAUUGAAAAAGAAUGCAUAGGAAAGGUAGAUCACAAGUUAGAAUUAAGAAAUUUUACCUUGACUUGCUUAAUUCCUUGAAAUCUAAUGAAUUUUCUCUUGAUUUUCUUCUCUAGGGUUUGUUUUGUGCUUUUUCCCUUUUGUUCUUGCCUUGGCCG